Molecule: ribosomal RNA, 301 nt
Filed under: uncultured bacterium
Lineage: Bacteria
Description: partial 16S ribosomal RNA
Rfam family: Bacterial small subunit ribosomal RNA
Source: RNAcentral
CAGUAGCCGCGGUAAUACGUAGGUGGCAAGCGUUGUCCGGAAUUAUUGGGCGUAAAGGGCUCGCAGGCGGUUUCUUAAGUCUGAUGUGAAAGCCCCCGGCUCAACCGGGGAGGGUCAUUGAAAACUGGGAAACUUGAGUGCAGAAGAGGAGAGUGGAAUUCCACGUGUAGCGGUGAAAUGCGUAGAGAUGUGGAGGAACACCAGUGGCGAAGGCGACUCUCUGGUCUGUAACUGACGCUGAGGAGCGAAAGCGUGGGGAGCGAACAGGAUUAGAUACCCGUGUAGUCCCUGUCUCUUAUAC